Molecule: ribosomal RNA, 229 nt
Filed under: uncultured bacterium
Lineage: Bacteria
Description: partial 16S ribosomal RNA
Rfam family: Bacterial small subunit ribosomal RNA
Source: RNAcentral
CGCGUAGGCGGAUUGUUAAGUCGGGGGUGAAAUCCCGGGGCUCAACCCCGGAACUGCCUCCGAUACUGGCAGUCUAGAGUUCGAGAGAGGUGAGUGGAAUUCCGAGUGUAGAGGUGAAAUUCGUAGAUAUUCGGAGGAACACCAGUGGCGAAGGCGGCUCACUGGCUCGAUACUGACGCUGCGGCGCGAAAGCGUGGGGAGCAAACAGGAUUAGAUACCCUGGUAGUCC